This 413-nucleotide ribosomal RNA is filed under the name uncultured bacterium. Its description in RNAcentral is "bacterial SSU rRNA". It matches the Rfam family "Bacterial small subunit ribosomal RNA", at positions 505 to 916 of the family's 1533-position model. The record is from RNAcentral.
GUGCCAGCAGCCGCGGUAAUACGAAGGGUGCGAGCGUUAAUCGGAAUUACUGGGCGUAAAGCGUGCGUAGGUGGUUGGCUAAGUCCGAUGUGAAAGCCCUGGGCUCAACCUGGGAAUGGCAUUGGAUACUGGCUGGCUGGAGUGCGGUAGAGGGCAGCGGAAUUUCCGGUGUAGCGGUGAAAUGCGUAGAUAUUGGGAAGAACACCAGUGGCGAAGGCGCUCUGCUGGACCGAGACUGACGCUGAGGGACGAAAGCUAGGGGAGCGAAAGGGAUUAGAUACCCCUGUAGUCCUAGCUGUAAACGAUGGACACUAGGUGUUGCGCGUAUCGACCCGUGCAGUGCCGUAGCUAACGCGUUAAGUGUCCCGCCUGGGGAGUACGCACGCAAGUGUGAAACUCAAAGGAAUUGACGG